RNAcentral lists this ribosomal RNA (467 nucleotides) under uncultured Enterobacteriaceae bacterium. Its description in RNAcentral is "bacterial SSU rRNA". It matches the Rfam family "Bacterial small subunit ribosomal RNA", at positions 337 to 796 of the family's 1533-position model. Lineage: Bacteria; Pseudomonadati; Pseudomonadota; Gammaproteobacteria; Enterobacterales; Enterobacteriaceae. The record is from RNAcentral.
GCCUACGGGUGGCAGCAGUGGGGAAUAUUGCACAAUGGGCGCAAGCCUGAUGCAGCCAUGCCGCGUGUAUGAAGAAGGCCUUCGGGUUGUAAAGUACUUUCAGCGGGGAGGAAGGUGUUGCGGUUAAUAACCGCAGCAAUUGACGUUACUCGCAGAAGAAGCACCGGCUAACUCCGUGCCAGCAGCCGCGGUAAUACGGAGGGUGCAAGCGUUAAUCGGAAUUACUGGGCGUAAAGCGCACGCAGGCGGUCUGUUAAGUCAGAUGUGAAAUCCCCGGGCUCAACCUGGGAACUGCAUUUGAAACUGGCAGGCUUGAGUCUUGUAGAGGGGGGUAGAAUUCCAGGUGUAGCGGUGAAAUGCGUAGAGAUCUGGAGGAAUACCGGUGGCGAAGGCGGCCCCCUGGACAAAGACUGACGCUCAGGUGCGAAAGCGUGGGGAGCAAACAGGAUUAGAUACCCCAGUAGUCC